ACGGACAGAAUCCCUCAGAGAGCCCCAAGGGGGCAGGCCCAGCCUCAGGGUCGGGCAGUAGACGAAGAGGUAUUUCCCCUUCUAGUUGUGGAUUGAAGAAGGGGCACAUUUCAACAACCCCUUUUUGCCGAACUGAGGGGAGAAAUACCACCAGUCCUUCACCGAAGGAUGACGCUUGAAGGUAUAGAAGUGCCUAAACAGAGAGAGGGAUGGUUGGACCUCGACUA
Molecule: long non-coding RNA, 227 nt
Filed under: Elaeis guineensis (African oil palm)
Lineage: Eukaryota; Viridiplantae; Streptophyta; Magnoliopsida; Arecales; Arecaceae
Description: long non-coding RNA (EGUI_LNC037240)
Source: RNAcentral